CCUACGGGUGGCAGCAGUGGGGAAUAUUGCACAAUGGGGGCAACCCUGAUGCAGCGACGCCGCGUGAGCGAUGAAGUAUUUCGGUAUGUAAAGCUCUAUCAGCAGGGAAGAAAAUGACGGUACCUGACUAAGAAGCCCCGGCUAAGUACGUGCCAGCAGCCGCGGGAAUACGUAGGGGGCAAGCGUGAUCCGGAUUUACUGGGUGUAAAGGGAGCGUAGACGGCUGUGCAAGCCAGAGGUGAAAGCCGGGGGCUCAACCCCGGGACUGCAUUUGAAACUGUGUGGCUUGAGUGUAGGAGAGGAAAGCGGAAUUGCUAGUGUAGCGGUGAAAUGCGUAGAUAUUAGGAAGAACACCAGUGGCGAAGGCGGCCUGCUGGGCGAUGACUGACGUUGAGGCACGAAAGCGUGGGGAGCAAACAGGAUUAGAUACCCCUGUAGUC
RNAcentral lists this ribosomal RNA (440 nucleotides) under uncultured bacterium. RNAcentral's name for it is "partial 16S ribosomal RNA". It matches the Rfam family "Bacterial small subunit ribosomal RNA", at positions 338 to 795 of the family's 1533-position model. The record is from RNAcentral.